UACGGGGGGGGCAAGCGUUGUUCGGAAUUACUGGGCGUAAAGGGCUCGUAGGCGGCCAACUAAGUCAGACGUGAAAUCCCUAGGCUCAACCUAGGAACUGCGUCUGAUACUGGAUGGCUUGAAUCCGGGAGAGGGAUGCAGAAUUCCAGGUGUAGCGGUGAAAUGCGUAGAUAUCAAGUGGAACACCAGUGGCGAAGGCGAGUCCCUGGACAACUCCUGACACUGAGGCACGAAAGCUAGGGGAGCAAACAGG
This 253-nucleotide ribosomal RNA is filed under the name uncultured bacterium. RNAcentral's name for it is "partial 16S ribosomal RNA". It matches the Rfam family "Bacterial small subunit ribosomal RNA", at positions 524 to 776 of the family's 1533-position model. The record is from RNAcentral.